RNAcentral lists this long non-coding RNA (981 nucleotides) under Daphnia pulicaria. Its description in RNAcentral is "uncharacterized LOC124329253, transcript variant X2". Lineage: Eukaryota; Metazoa; Arthropoda; Branchiopoda; Diplostraca; Daphniidae. The record is from RNAcentral.
UGUUGCUGCCGGUAAUGCCUAAUGUGGUUGCUUUGCUGCGUUAUUGAGUUACUUUGGAUUUCGAUUAUUCUCGAGAAAUAGAAUCACAUAUUCCCAUAUGAGUGUAGACUGAAACUGUACAGUACCUGAUGUUGUUUCUUGCUAAAGUUGUUAUAAAGCAAGCAUGGUAUGCUACGUGAAAACCACAAGAAAAUUGUCUACCUUAAUAACCAUAUGCUGAAUGUUCCUUUUAAUCACAUCUUCCGCUGCAUAAUUGCAUCUUUGUAGCCUGACAGUUGUGGAAUCAUAUGCACAGUGCAGGUUCAUUCAUGCUGUGAAUGAUGAAUGCUUCUGUAUCAUGCAUAUUAGGGUGUACCUCCUACAGCAGAUGGAGGAUGUUUGGGAGAUAUUGACGACCCUACCUGACACUACAAAGCCAGAGCGUCAUGGUUGUUCUUCACUGCUGACCUGCAUAAACACCCAUCAAAAGUUCAUUCAUGCCGUUAAUGAUAGAUGCUUCUGUAUCAUGCAUAUUUCAGUGUGUGGAAGUAGUUGUGAAAUAUUAAGUACCAUACCCUGCACUUUCGCCUUACAUCAGGAAGAUUUUAUUAAGCAGCAACCUUCCUACAGCAGAUCGAGAUUGCAGAGAAGAAAUUGACGAUUCCAGCAAGAUUGUCUGAUUCAUCUUUGUACCGAUGUUUGGCGAGAAAAUUGACGACCCAACAAGAGCGAUACUGAGAGAGCGUCGUGGUUGUUCUUCAGAAGUGACCUGCAUCAACGCCUGUAAAAAAUUCUGGAAUCAGACUGAACGAGAUUUUGCUUCCGGAAGAAAAACUGCGAUAUCAGGGACCUACAGACUACAACACGUUCAACGCGGGUCAUCUAUUUCUGUUGUUGGUAAUAUGUUUUUGUUAGUUAAUCCGUUGGCUGCCACGCCUUUGUUCUCCCCUAGCUCCUUAGCACGGGCCGCGCUGUUCGGUCUCGUGGUUUACAUGCCGCGGG